Molecule: ribosomal RNA, 253 nt
Filed under: uncultured bacterium
Lineage: Bacteria
Description: partial 16S ribosomal RNA
Rfam family: Bacterial small subunit ribosomal RNA
Source: RNAcentral
UACAGAGGUCCCGAGCGUUGUUCGGAUUCACUGGGCGUAGAGGGUGCGUAGGUGGUGACGUAAGUCGGAUGUGAAAUCUCGGAGCUCAACUCCGAAACGGCAUUGGAAACUGCGUUGCUAGAGGGUUGGAGGGGGGACUGGAAUGCUUGGUGUAGCAGUGAAAUGCGUAGAUAUCAAGCGGAACACCAGUGGCGAAGGCGAGUCCCUGGACAACACCUGACACUGAGGCACGAAAGCUAGGGGAGCAAACGGG